Molecule: ribosomal RNA, 403 nt
Filed under: uncultured bacterium
Lineage: Bacteria
Description: bacterial SSU rRNA
Rfam family: Bacterial small subunit ribosomal RNA
Source: RNAcentral
GGGGAAUAUUGCGCAAUGGGGGAAACCCUGACGCAGCAAUACCGCGUGAGUGAAGAAGGUUUUCGGAUCGUAAAGCUCUGUUAUUGGGGAAGAAAAAAAGACGGUACCCAAGAAGAAAGUCCCGGCUAACUACGUGCCAGCAGCCGCGGUAAUACGUAGGGGACAAGCGUUAAUCGGAAUUACUGGGCGUAAAGCGCACGUAGGCUGCUUUGUAAGUCAGGGGUGAAAUCCCACGGCUCAACCGUGGAACUGCCUUUGAUACUGCUUAGCUUGAAUCCGGGGGAGGGUGGCGGAAUUCCAGGUGUAGGAGUGAAAUCCGUAGAUAUCUGGAGGAACAUCAGUGGCGAAGGCGGCCACCUGGACCGGUAUUGACGCUGAGGUGCGAAAGCGUGGGGAGCAAACA